This 433-nucleotide ribosomal RNA is filed under the name uncultured bacterium. RNAcentral's name for it is "partial 16S ribosomal RNA". It matches the Rfam family "Bacterial small subunit ribosomal RNA", at positions 29 to 507 of the family's 1533-position model. The record is from RNAcentral.
AGCGAACGCUGGCGGCAGGCCUAACACAUGCAAGUCGAACGGAUCCUUCGGGAUUAGUGGCGGACGGGUGAGUAACACGUGGGAACGUGCCCUUUGGUUCGGAACAACCCAGGGAAACUUGAGCUAAUACCGGAUGUGCCCUUCGGGGGAAAGAUUUAUCGCCAUUGGAGCGGCCCGCGUCUGAUUAGCUAGUUGGUGAGGUAACGGCCCACCAAGGCGACGAUCAGUAGCUGGUCUGAGAGGAUGAUCAGCCACACUGGGACUGAGACACGGCCCAGACUCCUACGGGAGGCAGCAGUGGGGAAUCUUGCGCAAUGGGCGAAAGCCUGACGCAGCCAUGCCGCGUGAAUGAUGAAGGUCUUAGGAUUGUAAAAUUCUUUCAGCGGGGACGAUAAUGACGGUACCCGCAGAAGAAGCGCCGGCUAACUUCGUG